AAUUCACACAAUCCAAGCCAUGGAUGUUCAAAGAGAAACCAGAAGAGAAGAAGCUUCGUCUUCAUCAUCAUCAUCUAGUUCGCGCACAAGGGACGUUGCACGAGGAGGAUGCGCUACCGAUCAGGCUCGCCUGGCAGAACGACACCAUCGCCGAAUCCUCCGCGCAUCGGAUUCCGUCCACCGACGGAGUUGCCAAAUCACAUGAGCUCGGAAAACAUGGCUAAAGGGGAAAGGAGAUUUGGUGGUGGAGAUUGCAAGCUGAGCCACAAAAAAAGACUAUGCAGCUCGUGAUACGGUGGAGUGGGGUUAGAGAUGGCAAUCCGAUUUGGGGCCCAUGGCCUCCUGCAAAAAGUGAUUAAAAAAAUGUGUGAAUUUGAGCAAUCUUCGCGGUUGAGAAUGCUUUUUGGUCGACCCUGCUUAGGAAAAGGCAGGGCCCUGGGUAAUACUGCUUAUGCAAUUUGCUCCCAGAAGUACAAUUCUUUUUUCAAGUUUUUUUUUUUUUUACCCUUUGAAAAUUGGUAUUAGGUAGCAGAAUGUGGUGGUGGCUCAUCUCAGCGCUGCAGCUGCUUGAUACACUCCGGUGACUCGCAAUUACAGUUAGGACAUACCUCCUUUCUGGCCGGGCUACAACCGAGAUUUCGGGUUCAUCUGGCAUAGUAGAUACAAUGCUAGAUUAAGAAUUUGGGGACUCUCGCUAUCCACUACUAAAUUUUUGACAUGUAGGAGAGUGGAAACAGGGAGAUUCUUGCGAUCCACCGCUAAGUUUUUGAGACGUGUGAAAGCUGAAAAGGGGGGGAGGGGAAAAUGAAUCUUGUAAAAAAUUUGUAAUAUUAACAGAUUGCUAUUGCUAUACAAGUCUUUUAUUUUUCUUA
Molecule: non-coding RNA, 872 nt
Organism: Momordica charantia (bitter melon)
Lineage: Eukaryota; Viridiplantae; Streptophyta; Magnoliopsida; Cucurbitales; Cucurbitaceae
Source: RefSeq, a predicted model, not a curated record